UACAGAGGUCCCGAGCGUUGUUCGGAAUCACUGGGCGUAAAGGGAGCGUAGGCGGCGUGGUAAGUCAGAUGUGAAAUCCCGGGGCUCAACCCCGGAACUGCAUCCGAUACUGCCAUGCUAGAGGAUUGGAGAGGUAGCUGGAAUUCUUGGUGUAGCAGUGAAAUGCGUAGAGAUCAAGAGGAACACUCGUGGCGAAAGCGAGCUACUGGACAAUUCCUGACGCUGAGGCUCGAAGGCUAGGGUAGCGAAAGGG
RNAcentral lists this ribosomal RNA (253 nucleotides) under uncultured bacterium. Its description in RNAcentral is "partial 16S ribosomal RNA". It matches the Rfam family "Bacterial small subunit ribosomal RNA", at positions 524 to 776 of the family's 1533-position model. The record is from RNAcentral.